RNAcentral lists this long non-coding RNA (1086 nucleotides) under Struthio camelus australis. RNAcentral describes it as "lncRNA (ENSSCUG00000004092.1)". Lineage: Eukaryota; Metazoa; Chordata; Aves; Struthioniformes; Struthionidae. The record is from RNAcentral.
AAGCUCCCCACCGCCCUACGCGUGCCCGAUUCUUGCCCUGUACCAGGCACCAAACAAAAGCUGAAUAAAGCAAGAGCGCUGCUCCCUGCCGGCUCUGCCCACGGGCUGGCUGCAGGGCAGCCCAAUGCGGCAGGGUUAAAUCUCCCACCACAGCUAGGAUCCCACAGCUCAGUUUCGUCACGUGGAUUAACCCUGUCUCAUCCCAAAAGAGCUGACGAGGACAAGCGGUGGGCUGAAAGACUGUGUGAAAUCUCUGCAUCUGCUGCACCAGCUAUCUGCACCACGACUGCAAACUCCUAGCAAGACCACAGCUAAGCCAAGCCCGGGAUCAGAAACGUUGCCGAAAUCAGGAGAAAUCUGGAAUACUGAGAACCCACCCCUGGAAAAUGUUCUUCUUCUGCAUUUUGCUUUCCUCUCCUGCGUUUCAAGCAGAAUGCAACUCCGUUUCCAGAGCAGUUUAUCAAAAGUGCUAUCAAGAGACUUCUGAGGUGCAAAGAGGUUCAUCACAGUCAUUCCUAGGCAGACGUGAACACAUGUGUCCAUAAUCAGCAAGGUGAUGAAGCUCCACCAAUGCCUCUCACCAGAAAUACGCUUUCUUUUUUUUGCACUAUGCUAAGAGUUUCCUUCGUCACAAGGUGUUCAGCAGCAGUCACCAGAGACCUUCAGGGACUAUUUUAGAUGCAUGCUUCCAGGGAUUCUUCACAAAGACACAGAAGAAAAAGUACCUUUCUUUUUCCUGUUAGUUUACAACGUAUUGUGGUUUUUUUCUUUAUCUUAGCCAAUCAAUUUCUUACAUAACUGAUAUUUAUGCAUUUUUCAACCAGCUCUACUUCUGUGUAUCCUGUUAUCAAUUCUGCUCCAUCCUGGAGAGAUUCCCUCCCCACUGCCACCACCGCCACCACCUGUCCCCUCCAAUUAGUGUCGACUGCCGCAAAGAUCUUUGUGAUAUUGAAACUAUAUUAAGACACAUGUACAUCUGUUUAGAAAGAAGGAUUUUCUUUCCACAGGAAAAGCUACCAUUUCAAAAUCUGUUUUUCUUUUGAACUGGAACAAAAAGUUGUAAUGUUUAUUUACCUGCAGAAUGAG